Molecule: ribosomal RNA, 108 nt
Filed under: Streptococcus salivarius
Lineage: Bacteria; Bacillati; Bacillota; Bacilli; Lactobacillales; Streptococcaceae
Source: RNAcentral
CGAUAGCCUAGGAGAUACACCUGUUCCCAUGCCGAACACAGAAGUUAAGCCCUAGUACGCCUGAUGUAGUUGGGGGUUGCCCCCUGUUAGAUACGGUAGUCGCUUAGC